CAGUCGCCGCGGUAAGACAGAGGAUGCAGGCGUUAUCCGGAAUGAUUGGGCGUAAAGCGUCUGUAGGUGGCUUUUCAAGUCCGCUGUCAAAUCCCAGGGCUCAACCCUGGACAGGCGGUGGAAACUACCAAGCUAGAGUACGGUAGGGGCAGAGGGAAUUUCCAGUGGAGCGGUGAAAUGCGUUGAGAUCGGAAAGAACACCAACGGCGAAAGCACUCUGCUGGGCCGACACUGACACUGAGAGACGAAAGCUAGGGGAGCAAAUGGGAUUAGAUACCCCCGUAGUCCCUGUCUCUUAUAC
This 301-nucleotide ribosomal RNA is filed under the name uncultured bacterium. RNAcentral's name for it is "partial 16S ribosomal RNA". It matches the Rfam family "Bacterial small subunit ribosomal RNA", at positions 509 to 807 of the family's 1533-position model. The record is from RNAcentral.